Molecule: long non-coding RNA, 1532 nt
Organism: Artibeus jamaicensis (Jamaican fruit-eating bat)
Lineage: Eukaryota; Metazoa; Chordata; Mammalia; Chiroptera; Phyllostomidae
Exons: 4
Source: RefSeq, a predicted model, not a curated record
CCCUACAGAUAAUGCUAGAAGAAAUUAAGCUAAUGAGACCCAAAAAGUAAGUCCCUAAAACUCUGGACCCAAUUUCCUCAACAUUCUCAGAACAAACAAACAAAUAAAAACUGGCAAUGACAAAAUGUGCUUCUCUGGAUGGUUCUCAUCUAUAAACCCCUGCAGGAAGCUGAAGAGUCCUGAAAAAAAGGGAAACCAGAUUAGUUCUGCUGCUAUUGCUACUGCUCCUACCAUAAAAUAUAGCAGAGAAUUGGAAACAGGAUACCAUCUGUCAACACAUUCUUCUGAUGUCACAAGUAGGCACUUUUACACUCCGGAAAAGGAGGCCAUACCAGUGGAAUGUAGCCAGGUGUCUUAUUUCCAGUAGUUACCUCCAUCACUCUGGAACUAUGAGUCUCAUGACUGAGUCAAAGAGGCCUGAGUCUUGCAGCCAGAAGCCACUGCUAUCAAUCCACAUCCUAAAAGAAUGCCUUCCCUCAGAAGCCCUUCCUGCAAGCUCCAGGACAUGACGAAUUAAGGAUAUACUGGUGCUUCUUUUCCAGCUGCUCAGUAAAGGUCUCUGAAGCCCCACACCAAAUGGGCCUCUUGCCCUCUGACCCUGGACCAACUGUGAGAAGCUCAACAUUCAAGAACACAAAAAGAAGACAACACUGGUGUGGAGUGCCAGCCCGGUGAGCUGCCAACUACCACCUGGACAAUAGACAGAGAUGGAAAAGAACCCUCUUUCCCUUUCUGAAAAUCUCAGCUGUGUGGAAGACACUAACCAGUUCCGUGAUUUCUGCUUGUUCACAAAGAAAUGUGUCUGUCUGGGAGAAGAUUACAGAGGCCAAGUGGAUGAAGGCCAUUCCCAUUUGUCUUAAAGGCAGCUUCCUUUCCAGCUGCAGGAAAAUUAUGCCCAUAGAAGGACAUAAUUUGGAAUUAAGUUCUGGAAUGUUUUCCACUUGCUCUGCUUCUUUCAGAGUCUUGUCAUUCAAAAUGUGGCCCCAGGACCAGCUGUAUUAACAUCAUCUGGGAACUUGCUGGUAAUGUAUGAUCUCAGGCCCCACCCAUCUCUGCUGAAUCAGAAUCCACAUUUUCAUAAAAUCUCCAGGUGAUUCACAUGCACAUUUAAAUGUAAGAAAACUCGUCUACAGCAUAACUUCAGGCCACAGUGUUUUGUAGUGGGUGUGGUCUCUGUGAACUCUAGGGUGCUCUGUCUAAUCCCCGAAAAUCAGGGUCACAGUGAGAUUAAUCAGGUCCUGCGUGCUUCAGGUGUUUAACAGAAAGCCAUUUAUUUGGCAAUGUUAGAACAUUUCUUCAAGAUAUUGGGAGUUAACCACAAAGCCCCAACAGGUGGAAAUCUGAACCCCAGACUAAAGUCUUUAUUAGGCCCUCAAAAGAUCCCUCAACAUUAGUCAGGCUGUGUUAUCUGUGCUCAUCUGGGGUAGUAUAUAGACCAGGUAAAAACAAAACGAAGGGUUUCUCAUAGGCUCUGAAGAACCACUGCAGUCCAGGUGAGGUUUUCUUAGUAACUGCAUCAGACAAGUCUGGGA